Long non-coding RNA from Manis javanica (Malayan pangolin), 4217 nucleotides. RefSeq lists it as uncharacterized. The record is from RefSeq and is a predicted model, not a curated record. Lineage: Eukaryota; Metazoa; Chordata; Mammalia; Pholidota; Manidae.
AUCACAGUUCAAGUGGCAGCCUCGUAAGAGCAAACCUCAGCUUCAGAGCCCAGCGAAGGAAGCCCUGGGGCACGCAGCAUCUGCUACUAAGUUUAUGCCGACCCGAGCAGCAGCAAACCACAUCGCCUUGAUCUCUACAGUCUGUACUACCCAGCCAUGAAUACACAUUUACACGCAUUCUUAAAUAAAAGGAUCUGUGGGUUUACUGGUAAUGAGGCAAGCAGAGGGGCUCAAUAACGACAUCCAGAAGGUUCAGAGGAAGAGCUGAGGGCUUGGGUCAAUGCUAAAUGUGGGAGGGAGAAAUUCAUCUAUUACACAGCAGUUCGGCAUGUCAGCAGGCCUACCAUGUUGGAUUUUGACAUUUUAUAGAAAUACUCAACAAGAAGCAAAGAGAUUUUUCUGCAAACAACGAAAUUAGAAACCCCAAUGAGCAAUGCGUGGCUAAGGCUUGAAAGAGGACAAUAGCGAAAUAAAAGCUGCCUUCAACUUGUCAAAGUAGCCUUAUUAACAAUUCCCGGAAGUUUUCCCUGCCUUAAUCAUUAUAUUAGGUUUUCAGCAUUCACAGCAGCAGGAAAAUGCAACAGCAAGAAGAGAACAGUCAUAACUCCGUAUCCUCCUUUCCAUGCCAGCAGCUCACCUUCUCUUAUGUGCUGUUCUCUGCUGCAGAAGGGCUGCGCUGUGCAAAGGGCUUGGUUUAAAUUGCGUAAUCCUGAAUUUAACACUGACCGGGAAUUCGAUACUGGUCAAAUCGUGUGAACUUGAAUUAAGUUUCUUAAUUUCUCUAAGCCUCAAAGGAAGUGGGUGAAGGGGCUACUCUCACAGCUGCUGGGCGGAUUCAGUAAGAUAUUGUUUGUGAAAAUAGGCUGCAAUUCUGCAGGUGAGAAGCCUCCUAGCUUCCUUCCAGUAAGGCCUGUUGUGAAGUAUUAAAUGUUCAAUAGUCUCUUGUGUGACUAUUAAAAAUAAAAACCAACCAAGCAAACAGAAAACAUACUUCCUUUGAAAGCCCCUGUUAUCCUGACAAAAAAGGUAGAUGAGGAGGCAUUUAUUUCAGUUAGUUUCAAUAAUACAAACAAGAAUCACUUCUUCAGCUUCCUCCAGCUAAGAAUUAUUUUCAGUUGGCUUCACUUUUGAGUUGCUGAGUUCCUUACUUCUUUCAUUGGAACCAAGAGAGGGAAAAUAACAUUUUAGCUUUCUUUUAGCCAACAAAGGAAUUCUUUUCUCAAAGGAUGGUUCGCCUUUAAUGAAGCCGUCAUGAACACAGACAGCAGCCCGAUCGCGGGAACCUCUUCCUGAAGACCUAAUAUCGAACUUCGGUUGCAAGACUGUUGCACAGUGCUGAGGAAAACCAAAGGGUACAGUCCCUUCCGUGAAAAAUCUUCCAACUCGGAAUAUCCCCACUGUCUGGAGGCCUGCAAAUAAGCAAACAAAAUCAACAGUCCUGUUUUAUGGACUUGAAGCUUGGGAGGGGAUCAAAACGGAAAUCGAACAGGACACCAGCACCGUGCGGCAACAUAUACAGCAACAGUAAUGUGGCAGUGUGAGCCAGUGCUUAUUUAGCCCAGACCGUCUCUCCAGGUAGCCAAAGAAACAGAGCCAGAGUUUUCUCUGAUUCAGGUUUGCUUCUGGGGGCAAGAAUACUUCAUACGAGUUCCAUGUCUAAUGAGUGGCAUGCGGGACUUCCAGAAGAAGUUGAGAGAGUCACGGUGAGUGGCUAAGCAUUGCUGAUUUGCAUAAGCACACAUUGGUGCUUUGCUCUUGGGUGGCAUUUUGCUUUACUAUUUACAAAAGACUUCUGUACCCUUCUUGUUGCUGCUGUCAAUUUGUCUGCCUCACAACUGAGUCCAGCCGCCAGCCUAAUUUACUGCCUCUACCUCUCUGGGAGCUGGAAAACAGGGUAUCAGGCAACUUAGAAUCAAAUCCAGAACUGCAUUUCUUCAUCUGCAAUCUACGCAUAGUAUUUAGGUAGAGCAAAUGACAGCCUUCAGACAAUCAAUGCCAUUCUCUGGCAUAAGCUUUACAGUGAUUUUCCUCAAAGAGAAGACACAGUCUAGGCAUUCAGCAACCUGACUUGAGACAAUCAAAACAGGUGCACAUCAAGAAAGGCCUAAGAUAUGGCAAAGAAACGUGCCUUUGCCACAUCCUGUCCCAGAAACUGAUAUGAUCACCUUUCUCUCCCUUUAAUCAGAAAAGGAAAUGCAAACUGGACCUGGAGUACCUGAAUCUCAGGCUUAGGGAAUUCAUGUAACAGGGGCAGGCAUAAUAAAUAGGGGAGCCCACCCUAAAAUCACCCUACACCCCAGAAAUUAAAUAAUAGAGUUUGACUCUCCAUUAUAUUAUGUUUUUUUUUUUUUUUUUGAAAUUUGCGCUUCUGGGAAAUUGAGGAUGCUAAAGGAACUUUGACCUAUCACUACAGAAAGCAUCUGGGUCAAAGACAAGAGUGGAAGGCUGGUGUACACAAAUAUAGACGGAGCCACCAUUAUGGCCUCAGACCAGUUUUGGAGAGAAUGAAACGAUCUUGACAAACGUUCAUAAGGCUGAAGUGAACCUAACUCUCUACUACCUCUUUUAAAAACUGGCAAGCAAAGUCUUACAAGAGAAUUGUUCUUGAAGUUUGCUCUUUUCUCAUUGGUUUAAAGUGACCAAUAUUAAUAUCUGUUUGAACAAGAAUGUAUCUCUCAUUUUCCUUUGGCCACUUGGACUAAACCGCAUGGGAACCCGGAACAGCAUCCAGGCCUUGAGAGUCACUCGGGCGCUCUUCCUUCCUUGGGACCUAAACGGCAUCAACUAUUCCAAAAAAGAGAACUGGCCCUUUCUUAGUAAGCUUAAAGGAAAUGCUAUUUUACAAAUUGUAAUUCAUGACAAUUUAUUUUCAGAAGGAAAAUAGAAAGACAUACCAAGUUUUCUUUCUUGAAAGCAUUUAACCUGGCACUAGAUUUUUGCAUGAUUAGAGUAGAAUUUUCUCAUUUAGAAUUCUUUAAAACGCAUACAGUUCAGUCUCUACAUUCUUUUCAGGGAAAAGGUAUAACUAUAAAAGUAUGAGUCUCUUUUUCUACACCAUAGUGAAAUUUAGGCUGAAUUUACAUACUCACAAUACUGAACUCUUUAGUCCCUAAGCUAUUUUUAAAAAUAGUUCUGUUCAAGUAAUAUUUAUUGAAUAUACUAAGUACUGGGAAUUCAAAAUGACUAAGACAUUUUCCUUGACUUCCAGUUUACCUUCCAAGGAGAAGAGAUAAACACAUGCACAUACAUGUAUGUAUGUACACACAUGUAUACAUAUAAAAUUUUUGUGUAAACAAAUAAAAUCUUAGUACAUAUUAAUUUGAUUAAGUCACCCAUAUGUUAUCUAGUGAUUUCCAUAUAUAAUGAGAUGAUUAAGAGAUUUAGGUAUAUCCUUAAUACUUUUUUAUCCAGUCCCACUUUUACCAGAAAGGAUGCUAACAGUAUUAUGUCUACAGGAUAGCCUCAAAAUUUUCUUUGUUUUUCAGGUGUUUUUUUAUUACAAUGAGCAUAUUAUUUAUACAGUAAACAAUUCAUGUAAACAACACUUUCCUCAUGACCAUAAAAUACAUACUGACACUAUAGCAAACAAAUUCAGAUUAUGGAAAUAGCAGUUUGAUGAGCCAAAAGUCUCUAUUUCAAAAGUUUUAAAGAACUGUACAUCAUUUUUAAGUCAACAUAUUAACUGGAACUGAGCUGCCAAAAGGGUCAUUGUGAAUAAACUUUAAGUGGACAUUUUCUGCAAAAAUGCAAAUGGCAAUAUAGAAACCUGUUGUCAAAAACUAUGUAUUUUCUAUUCACUUUAGGAAUGGUUUCCCAACCUCUGGUGUUUAAAAAAAAGAAACUGGAGUGUUAUUUUUUAAAGGGAGCCUUGUGGGUAACACCAAUGUAUAAAAAAGAUAAAAGUGGCUCUGCUCCCUUUGAAGGGGGUCCUGGGGACAGACCAGCCCAAUAAAUCUUGCCUUCCCCUGAAGUGCUUGGCCUCUAGGGUCACUGCUGAGGACCCCUGGGGCCUCGGCAAUCUGAAUACCAUCAAGCUGAUUUCUUCUCCCCUGUCUGGUUUGGUCCAGUAAUCUCUUGAGCAAGCACUCACAUCUGUAAACUUUCUUCACAAGGGAAAUUUUAGCCCAGAGCCUGAUGAAAUGGACACAGAAUUGAAAUUGGGUGCUUACAUAGAUGAUGCUUGAAUAAAGAAAACCUUUAGUACUUGAGUGCUGACA